Long non-coding RNA from Lolium perenne, 861 nucleotides. RefSeq lists it as uncharacterized. NCBI's taxonomy places the organism in Eukaryota, Viridiplantae, Streptophyta, Magnoliopsida, Poales, Poaceae. The record is from RefSeq and is a predicted model, not a curated record.
UGCGGCAAAACUUAUAUGAGCUGGAUUUCAAUGUUGUUGUCAUGAGGUACAUCUCAUAUGAGCUGGAUUUCAAUGUUGUUGCCAUGAGGGAAACACAAUGGAGGUAUGUGUGCCAGCCAAUCGUACAGGUCAGUUCAAAGAACUUCUGAAGAAAGGCUAUGUGUGUACCAGUCAAUUGUACAGGAUACAUCUCGCAUGGGUGAGAUCAGAAGGUCUAGGUCAUUGUUUGGCAAUGUAUCCGUGGCUUACGCUGAAAACUUCCUCUCAUAAUGAUGGUUGCUGUGUGACCUUAUCAGUGGUUUAUGUUGGAAGCAAGCAUGUUUUUUGAUAACUUCUUCUACGCUGGUGACUGUUGGCUGAAGUUAUUCCAGUGCGAGAACUGAGCUAUACUUCAAGUGUAUCUCUGCUGUAAUCAUUAGCAUCAGACCCAUGCUAUGUACGGAAACUGUGUCAACAUCAUAUUAUUUCCAGGGAGGGUUGCAGAUGUACUGGCAGGUGUAACUCGCCAUUCUGGGAAGAAUUGGUGGGUUGUCUCCGCUCCUGAGACCCAACACUUCCGAGCGAGAAGAAGCUCAUCUGUUCCCGUCACUUGCUGAAAAUCUAACAUAAAACUGUUUGUUCUUUACUGCCACAAUACCAUCUGGAGCAGGCUGUUGCCUGAGUGGUGCUACUUCUUCGAGCUCAAACACGCAAGAGCCAUCUGGGCUUCUGCGAUUUUCUGCCGGCAGGGCGGCGAAACUACAUCCUCCACGGCGGAGGCCUUCUUCGAUUCUGCUGUUGGAGCUUGGCGCCUCCUCUUCAUCAAGUGGUGUGUCCCCGGUGAACUGAAGGUGACCGGCGGCUUCGACCCUUCGUCAGGAA